GAUCAUUAUCGUAACAACGGAGGUGCGAGGGCUGUCGCUGACCUUUCNNGGUCGUGCACGCCCAAGCGCUUUCACACAAUCCAUCUCACCCCCUUUGUGCAUCACCGCGUGGGUCCCCUUUGCGGGAGGGCUUGCGUUUUCACAUAAAAACAUUUUGAUAGUGUAGAAUGUCCUUUUGCGGUCACACGCAAUCAAUACAACUUUCAACAACGGAUCUCUUGGCUCUCGCAUCGAUGAAGAACGCAGCGAAAUGCGAUACGUAAUGUGAAUUGCAGAAUUCAGUGAAUCAUCGAAUCUUUGAACGCACCUUGCGCCCCUUGGCAUUCCGAGGGGCACACCCGUUUGAGUGUCGUGAAAUCUUCAAAAAANCCCUUUUCNCNUNANGAAANGNANUUUUUUU
This 400-nucleotide unclassified non-coding RNA is filed under the name uncultured fungus. RNAcentral describes it as "sequence contains ITS1, 5.8S rRNA gene, ITS2". The stretch from base 199 to 352 matches the Rfam family "5.8S ribosomal RNA". The record is from RNAcentral. Lineage: Eukaryota; Fungi.